Molecule: transfer RNA, 73 nt
Filed under: Ovis aries (sheep)
Lineage: Eukaryota; Metazoa; Chordata; Mammalia; Artiodactyla; Bovidae
Rfam family: tRNA
About the family: Transfer RNA (tRNA) molecules are approximately 80 nucleotides in length. Their secondary structure includes four short double-helical elements and three loops (D, anti-codon, and T loops).
Source: Rfam by way of RNAcentral
UUCCUGGUGGUCCAGUGGUUGGGACUCUGUGCUUCCACUGCAGGGAGUUCAGGUUCAAUCCCUGGUCAGGGAA